Molecule: ribosomal RNA, 497 nt
Filed under: uncultured bacterium
Lineage: Bacteria
Description: partial 16S ribosomal RNA
Rfam family: Bacterial small subunit ribosomal RNA
Source: RNAcentral
GAUGAACGCUGGCGGCGUGCCUAAUACAUGCAAGUCGAGCGAACAGACGAGGAGCUUGCUCCUCUGACGUUAGCGGCGGACGGGUGAGUAACACGUGGAUAACCUACCUAUAAGACUGGUAUAACUUCGGGAAACCGGAGCUAAUACCGGAUAAUAUAUUGAACCGCAUGGUUCAAUAGUGAAAGACGGUUUUGCUGUCACUUAUAGAUGGAUCCGCGCCGCAUUAGCUAGUUGGUAAGGUAACGGCUUACCAAGGCAACGAUGCGUAGCCGACCUGAGAGGGUGAUCGGCGACACUGGAACUGAGGCACGGACCAGACUCCUACGGGAGGCAGCAGUAGGGAAUCUUACGCAAAGGGCGAAAGUCUGACGGAGCAACGCCGCGUGAGUGAUGAAGGUCUUCGGAUCGUAAAACUCUGUUAUUAGGGAAGAACAAAUGUGUAAGUAACUAUGCACGUCUUGACGGUACCUAAUCAGAAAGCCACGGCUAACUACGUG